GUUCAGAGGAGAAGAUGUGCCACCUCAGAGAGGCAACGUCCCCGAAUCCCCCUGCAGCGCUGCAGCCGGCCUCGUGCCCUCACUUAACGCAGAUACAGCUCAGUCUGCAGCUAGCCCGGAGGCCAGUCCUAGCUUCGUUGGGUCAGAGCUGAUCUAAUGAUAAAACUUCCUGGACAAUACUGCACCUUAUGAGACUGAGGGACAUCAUAGCUGGCGAAAUGGCAGAUGAACAUCAAGACAGACAAAGGAUGGGGAAUUCAUCCAUGGAAGUUCUGCAAAGGGUGAACAUUUUUUUUCAGAUGAAAAUGGGACGCACGCAAUGAUACGUCUGGGUAGUGAUAUAUCUUCGCCUUCAGAAAGCACGGGAGAAAAAAUUAAGUCAUAUAUGAGCUAGUCAGUUCAGGGAUACAUUAGCUGCCUCAACCCAGUUAUAUGCCAAUGCCUCAUUUGCUCAUAUAGGAAUAUAAAUCAUGAUAGAUUUUACCUUUGCAACCGUUUGAUACAGUAUAUAACUGAGGAUAGAAUGUGACCCAUAGAACUAGAAAUCUGUUUAUUCAUUUUUUGGACUGGUAAAUUCUCUCUGCAAUUGUGAUGCUUAAAAUAAUGUCUAAAUUCUUGGAAAAAAUCCACAAAUAUAUUGAUUUCUUGAUGGAUGUCUACAUAUUUACCUACAGCAACCUGUUUGUAAAAAAGCUCACAUUAUACUUCUCUCUCUACCUUUUCCCACACAAUCCAAUUUGCUAUAUAGCAGCUGCCAGAAUUCAUGGAUGACAAACUCAAGGUUUUUCACAGAAAAGCAGUUCAUAAAAAUGUCCUUGAUCUUGUCAUCAUGGUCGUCAUCUCUUGUGCUUAUCAUUAUACUGACUAUACUAUUAAUUAUUGUGAAUGAAGAAGUUCUGUGAAAAUAGCCAUGUUUUCAGCACACCAUUACUGAAUUUCAUGAUAAAUUUAUGUAAUAGCAGUAAUAUAGAGAACAUAGUUAUUGAAUUAAAUUGAAAGACAAUGAGGUUAAGGGAGCAAAGCAAUUAAUAUCUCUUCCCUUAUGCUCUGACAACAUGAACAGUUUCUAUUUCUGGAUGGAGCAGGAAAUCUUUUUUUUUUUUCCUUCAAAUCCAUGUGAAGCACUUUUCCUGAAUUUUAAUACUCCGACCUCAAAAGAUAUAUUGAACUUCCUUAGGGCUGAUGUUCAAAUAUAAUAAAGCUUGAAGCUUUCUAAUUCAUAUGUGGUGGAAGAAACUCUAAGCAGUCAACAGCAUAAAUACAAACAUAAAUAUCCUCCUUUUGAACGCAGGUUAGCAGCAAAGUUCUUUUUUAGGGCCACACUCUGCCCUGAUUUACUGUUUGUGAAAUAUAAUUGAUUAAUGUCUGCUCUCAGAGAAAACAUAAAAAGCAGUAAUCAAUCUAGUGCAAUAUUUAUAUGUGGAAAGCCAAAUAAGAUCAACCCAAAUCUGCAUAUGAACUAAAGUACUGUAACACUAGUUAAUUCUAACAGGAGAGCAAGACUUAGGUGAUGAUGGGUAUGUUUUGCUUCUCUUAAAUAGUCUAGUGACAAACAUGUGUUCCCAUCCAUUUUCAUACAAGCCAAUAUAGUGGGACACCAAUGUUCACCUGAGUCCGUAGAUUCUCUUAUACAAAAAAUAUUUGGUCUAGGCUGCGGAGCCAUAAUUCUGUCAUCUGAUCAAUCCCCCAGUUUCAGGAAAAAUCGUGUGUGUCAGUGGGCAGAAUGCUAUUGAUUGGGAGGACAACUAGAAAGGCAGAAAGGGGAAAAUGGAAAACCUGUGGAAUCCAUUUUGCCUGUUUAGCACUGUGACACACAAGCACCUUCAUAAUUGUCCAUUAAUCAAAGAACUGUUUGAUAGAAAGGGCAAAAUGUGAAUGUACUCACGCUCACUAGAACUGGGCUGGAAAAUGGCUCCCAGAAGGUGAAUAAGGUACACAAAGGACAUAGCUCUUGGUAUGUGAGAGUAAAGGCUGGACGACAGGCUUUACGGAGGAGGAAAAUGAACCCUUGUCAUUUGCUGUAGUCAAAAUUAGGGUAUACACCGAAUUCAUGGCAAAUACAGAGUUCAAGAGUUUCUUAAAGAAAGGUAGCACACAAGAGGCUCAUGUGUUGAAAUACAGGGAGCCCUUGAUGUGUGCGGUAAAUCUGGCUUACAGAGACUACAGAAUAUGUGAUCUCUCAAUAAGUGACAGGAUAUUCUUGAACAUUUUAUAUGAUAUUAAAUGAAAAAUAAUUGGCUUUGGGAAAGAGCUGCUGCGAUUCUCUCAGCAAUCUAAUUAAUGAUUCCCCUCAUCUGCGUACAGUUCUCAUCUCCCACAUACUUCCCAUUUAAAUUAUCUCCUGCUAUAUGUGGUGACCUCUGACCGUAUUAAUACAAUAUGCAAAGUAACUUAGUGCUGUUAUGAAACAUUUUGUUUCAUCUCUCAGACUGAGAAAGUUUCAUAGGAAGCAGACAGAAUGCAGACAGUGGCGGGAGGUCUUUGGAAAACACUGGAGGCCAUCAUCUGCCGUGUGGGAAAGGGUGAGAGCUCGGGGAGAUGGUGAGAAGGAGGCAGAAGUGUCCAACCCUCGCCCCCCACCAAAAAUUUCUUUUGCACUUUUCCCAGCUGCUUCUAAGAGACCUUCCUCUUCUGCUUUGUUGUUCAUGUAACCUAUUCUGGAAAUGAUUAGGGGACAGAGUAGCUGAGUCGGUAUUGAGGAACAGCAGAGAGAACGAUGGUUGGAAGAUGUAUGUUUUGGACAACAGUGGAGUUGCUUUGUUAGCACUCUUUGUGUACUGAGAAUUAGUACUCUGUGACUAAUUCACCAUUGAUUUUGAACAGUUCAUAAAAAUUAAUGGAGAAAUAAUAGGCUAUGAGGGCAGGGUAUUGGGGUGUAAGAAUUAUAAAAAUCUAGAUUCAGCCACUGGACUAAUCAUUGCUUCUCUUCAAGGGAAAGGAUUGGAGAGUACUACAAAUUCUGGUGAUGCCAGUUCUUGAGUCUUUUAGCAUCUGGCAUAAGAAACAAGUACAAUUUAUAGUGUAGUUUGUGAUGUCCUAGCAAAUGCAGCAUUUAAAAAAACCCUGAAACUUAACUAAUUGCUGUUACGAAAGGAAGUGGAAAUAUUGCAGAAUAACUUGAAGCAUAUAAACUGGUUUAUUUGUAUUCCCUGUUACAUUAAGAGAGAGAAAUACACACAAAGAUGCAGAGUGCCUGAAAAAUAUUGGAUAUGUUUAUAUCAUAGGAGAUUAAGCAGUAUUUCUGCUUGAUUUUUAAUUCAACUUGAAACCAGAGUUACGAACACAUUUCUAAAGCAUACUGAAAAGGGAAAAUUGGAAGGAAGUAUAUACUACGGAAAAUAAAAUGUUACCUUGUUUUUAACAGAAAAAAACCCUCUUUAAAAUAUAGUAAUCAAUGAAAACUCCAUUUUUUAAAGUUUAGAUCAGCUUUAAACUAAAUUAAUUACACUUGGAAUCAUGGAAUUAAAUUAAAUUAGUAGCUUCAUAAUAAAAUCAACACACUGAUUUAUAAGCAUCCUAACACAGGGAUAUAGUUUCAUUUUCAACAGUUACUGGGAAGCUUAACUUUGAAAGAGGUUUUAAAGUGUGGAAACCUUUUAAAAUACAUUAAUACAUUUGCAAAAAUCUUUCUCUUCUUUUCCUUAAACUUUGAGCUUCAACUGUCAUUUUUACUUCAGUGAAAAUAUUUAACUUCUGAUGAUUUAGGGUACAGUCCUCAGCCACUUAGAUAAAGGACAGUUAUUCCCAUUGAUUGAAGUGGGUACAUGAUUUAAUGCUUAAAACAGACAAAAUCUCUUAAAACUCUCAAAAUCUCUUUAACUUGAGAAUGCUAACAUUUUACUGAAGUGCCAUGGUGUUUCUGUACCUCACCAAGUGAUUCUCAUGCAUGUAGUCUUUUUAGUCUUUUCACUUGACAUAUGUCAUUAUUUUUUCAUUAUACAAUUUAAUGGCUUUAUUCCCUAGUUGUACUGAAAUAGAUUUCAAUACAGUUGAGGCAUGGCCCCAGUGAAGAUGUACAUGUUCUCCCCCCUCCUCCUUUUUUUUUUUGUGAAAAUGUGAUUUCCACCAGCUUUUAAAAGCUGGACGUAUGGUAUGGUCCAUUGUAUGGACGUAUUUUGUAUGGUCCAUUAGUUUGGAAGGCAUCAGCCAGAGCACAGCACAUUUCCACCUCUCUCCCUCAUCUAAGAAUAUCCCUAGUUUGUAGGGAGUUCUCUUGGAGAAAAGCUGGGAAUAGCAAACUACGAAGAAGGCAGCUGAACGAACGAAUCCAGGAUGAUGGAGAGAAAGUACGAUGUUUGUCUAUGGAUCAGAUGAAAUAAGCAGCCGAAGCCUAUUUUUGCUUUUCUACUUUAGUAAUGACAUUCUGUCAACUGCUUAAUGUUGUAUGAUAUAUGACGAUGAUGAUAACAGGGGUUCUCAAACUGGGCAUGCUUUUCGCCAUCAUCAUCAUCAGUGGUGGUACUACACUGGCAAUAGCAAGAGUUCCUGCCUCUUUGCUGGGCCACGUUCAUGCACAGGAGAGUAAGUCCCACCUUUCUCUCACCAACGCGCAUUACUGGGCUCUCGACAAUCAGAGGAGGACUAUAAAAGGCUCCUUGUGGUCCUAAAAUUUUGGAACCUACAAACACACCUCAACCUUGAUCUGCAAGGCACACUGCUCAGCCCAGUCAUGUAAGGCGCUCUCCUUCAUGAACACUGCUUGCUGCCAAAUUGCGUGAAUUUUAGAACAAAUGAAAAAUAACCAGUUUGCUGUUUGUAGGCAGGCAUUUACAGCAUCGAGGAACAGAUCCCCAUUAGUGCCUUUCCACACAGGGCUGAGAGCUGCCUCAUCACUCUGUAGCUUAUUAUGUUGCAGGCGUUUUCCUAUCACAGACUGGGAGCUCUUAGUCCACAACAGAAAACUUAAGCAAAAAGUUAAAAACAGAAUUUAGAGGAUCCGUAGGAAAGAAUUAACUUGCUGCAGCAGCUUAUAUUACUUCCUGUUUAAUUCUAGUUUUAGGUGUUUAGAUCUUCUGAUGAACAUGGAUUAAGACUUACCGGAUUUGAAAAGGCAGAAAUUUGAAAGGGUGGUGGUGGAGCGGUCACAGUGAGAGCAGCCAUUCUCAGUGAGCUUUGACUGAUUUGAGUCAUGAGAGAGUGAAAAAAGAGCAAUAUUUAGAAUAGGAUAUAAGUUUAAAAUAUUGGAUGGAAGGAGGAGUCAUAUGGUUAUUUCUUCCAUGUAGGCAGGAAAAGAACAAAGUUUUUAACAAACUGGAAGAGCAGACAGUUUAAGCUGUUAAGGGCAAUCUGAACGGUAGAAGGCCGUAAGUGACGAAGUUAUGUAUGUGGUGUUUUCUUGUGUGCAGGUUCUUAAUUUAAAAUAAUCUAAUCAUUAAAUACUUUAACAUGGCAAGGAAGAAUAUUUUCCUCAGAACACUCCAUAAAUGAAAUCUGAUCGGCUUCUGGAAACAGCAGUUGAAAUCUCAGUGCAAAACAAUGAAUAUUAAAAUGAAACUCGAAAUUUCACAGGGCAUUAAAUAUCUUGUCCUUGUAAACUUUGUGGUAGGGUACUUUUUCAAA
Struthio camelus australis is the source of this 5559-nucleotide non-coding RNA. The record is from RefSeq and is a predicted model, not a curated record. NCBI's taxonomy places the organism in Eukaryota, Metazoa, Chordata, Aves, Struthioniformes, Struthionidae.